Culex pipiens pallens (northern house mosquito) is the source of this 6157-nucleotide RNA transcript. RefSeq lists it as uncharacterized. The transcript is spliced from 10 exons. The record is from RefSeq and is a predicted model, not a curated record. Lineage: Eukaryota; Metazoa; Arthropoda; Insecta; Diptera; Culicidae.
CCCAGCAAACACAGUUUGGGAAUCGCAGCGGAUUAGCUCAGUCGCGAGAGAACGAUUCAACUCGUAGGACGUGUGUGGCUUUAAGUAUUGCGCGUGGCGGUCCCAAAGUGAUUCGUGCGCGUGCGCCUUCUGGUGGUCAAUUAGUGAAACUUGCGGAAAAUUGCAAGUGAAAAAAAAGUCUCAAAAGCGCCACCCUGAAUAAUGGCUACAAAGUGAAGAAAAAAGUGCAAAGGGGAAAGAUUUUCCGCGCGGUGAAGAAAAAUCUCAUUCAUUUUCGGGUUGGGGUGUGUGGUUCGAGUUUUUCCCCAUCGAAACCGAAAAAGAAGUGCGGUUCUAAAAUUAGAAAUCUCGAGAAAGUGGCGGCACCUCGUGUGCUGCUGUGCAACGUUCGUCGUCAAGUCGCAGAAUAAGAUGAUGCGCGCGGCGGCAAGAAGAUUCGAUGAAAAGUGAAGAACGUAUCGACCUUGUUCGAUCGGGGAUCUCGAAAGUUUUUUUUUCUAGUUCACACUGAACCCAAAGCAAACCAAACAUCCUCCUCAAUGAAUGAGGCAUUCAAUUUCUAUUAUCAAAACUUGUUCUCGAUAACGAAGCAGUCGUCUGCUUCGUCGCCUUCUUCGACGGUACGCAGUUUCGUCGAAGGGCAGCAGCAACAUCAACAGCAACAUCAGCAACAACAACAGGAAGACCUUGACGCGAUCGCGAAGCAGAUUUCCGAUCACGCCGAAGCGAUCUACCAGACAUGGAAGGCUCGUGGCCUCGCGCCAACUGAGAUCCUCAACUGCCAACUGCCGACCGUGGACGGCGAGGAUGCGUUUAGCCGGACGUUGAGCCCGACAUCCUCGGUAGCGCCAUCGCCGACAGCAUCGCCAGCAGGUGCCGCUUCCGCGUCUACUUCCGGUGUAGCAAAGCUACUCGCGCAAGCACCCGAACUGUCCAACAACAGCCUCGAGCAGCUGGUCAGUUCGUUCGUCAACGAAGACAAAGCUCGGAUCGCCGCCCAGAAGCAGCGAUCGCCCGUAGCCGGACGGACAGCCGCCGCCGGUUCCGCCAUCAAGAGUGUGCUACAAAAGUUCGAACAGAACGGUGCUCAAAGCAGCCUCAACACCUCGCCGGUCAACAAGCCAAACUUUAUCCGACCCGGCGUGAAACAGGUAGUGAACAACAAUAACAACAACAAUCUCGGGACCUUGGACAAGAACAAUGUACCGGAUGUGCUAAAGGAUACGAUCGUCGUCGAGAAACCCCGUGAAAAACCACAGACUCCGGUGAAACCGGAACAUCUGCUUAACCAUGUUCCUAGCUGGCCGCUCAAGAAUCGUGUAGUGAAGACUCCAGGCCAGCAACCCCAACAACAACAACAACCACAGCAAAACCAUCACCACAGUUCGUCAGCUCCCAGAAGCGGUCCCGGAAGCAGUAGUAGUAAUAUUAGUAGUAACAGUGGCCUUAACAGCUCUCUCAUCUCCAAAAACACCGCGGAGCUUAUGGAUGAAGUGUCCCGGGAGGAGGAACGUCUGAUAAACGCACUCAAAACGGGCACCGUACUGAACAACACUGACGGACUACUUCCGGAGGUGAUCACCUCGACGCUGGUCCCCGACCGCGGAGACGUACCCGACUACGGCUACAGCAGUAGCAGUCCCGGCGCAGACAUGGUGACCUCGUCAACCCUAAUGGCCAACGGGAACGGCAUCAACGGCAAUGGCACCACCGUCGGUGCCGCCGACGGCCAGAACAACGCGGGCGGAAACGCCGCCGGCGUCAAGCACUGGAACGGCGUCCCGAUGAAGCCGAACCACAUCCCGAUUAUGAGCCUGCACCAGAUCCACGAGCAGCAGAAGCUCUCCACCAACUUUACCCGCAACGUCGCAACCACAAGACUGCCCAAGGACUUUGGCCGGGGAGGCCAGCAGGACAAGAAGGAGGACUUCCAGGCCAAAACCAUUCCGAGCCCGAUCAGGCCGUUCCUGUCGCGCGGGUCGGUCGCCGAGCGGGUGCUCAUCUUCGAGAAGUGCCCGGAGAAGGCGCCGCCCCGCGAGCGCGCCAAGGAGCCGGUGAAGGUGCAGUCCAAACCCGUCAACAGACUGAUCCCGCCAAACAUUCACACAACGCUUCAACGACACUUGAAGAACUCAACGAAAGCUCCCUACAUACCACAAUUCCACUUCCCGAACGGCAAGCCCCCGGCGGCCAUCACGACUGAGACGACGAUGCAGCGGCUGGAGCAGGUCUUCGACUCGCUGCCCAACUACGAGUGCAGCCGGGACAAGUUCCACAAGGUGGUGACGAUGUGCCAGGUGCCGCUGUACUGGCGCGUCCCCCUGUUCAUGUGCACCCCGCUCACCGCGACCGGCUGCGUCAACGGCGACAAGUUCAUCUCGUUCUGGCGGCAAAUGACCUCCUUCUGCCACGAUCCGGCGUCCCGCUUCGUGUACAUCAUGUCGCGCGGGGACCGGACGCGGUCCUUCAUCCUGCCGGAGGACUUUGCGCCGCUGAUUCAGGACGUGGUCGACACGCACCCGGGGCUGGCGUUCCUGAAGGAGGCGGCCGAGUUCCACUCGCGGUACGUGCACACCGUGAUAGCGCGCAUCUUCUACAGCGUGAACCGCAGCUGGACGGGGAAGAUUACGGUGCCCGAGCUGCGCAAGUCGAACCUGCUGGACGUUAUGCAGCUGCUCGAGGAGGAGGAGGACAUCAACCAGAUUAUGGCGUACUUUAGCUACGAGCACUUUUACGUCAUCUACUGCAAGUUCUGGGAGCUGGACCGGGACCACGACCUGUUCAUCGACCAGCAGGACCUGGCGCGGCACAAUGACCACGCCCUGUCCUCGCGCAUGAUCGAGCGCAUCUUCUCCGGGUGUGUGACGCGGGGUCCACGCCGCGGCAACGCCAACCCGAUCGUGAUGGGCCCGAACGGGCCGAAGAUGUCCUACACGGACUUUGUGUGGUUCCUGCUGGCCGAGGAGGACAAGACGCACCCGACGGCCAUCGAGUACUGGUUUCGUUGCAUGGACGUCGACGGCGACGGGAUGCUGUCGAUGUACGAGCUGGAGUACUUUUACGAGGAGCAGCAGCACCGGAUGGAGUCGCUCGGCAUCGAGACGCUCCCCUUCGAAGACUGUCUGUGCCAGAUGCUGGAUAUGAUCAAACCGACCACGCCCGGUUGCAUCACGCUGGCGGACCUGAAGCGCUGCAAAAUGACGCCCAUCUUCUUCGACACGUUCUUCAACCUGGAAAAGUACAUGGAGCACGAACAGCGGGAUCCGUUCGCGCAGCGUGAUAAUGACGAUCUCUCCGACUGGGAUCGGUACGCAGCACAGGAGUACGAGCUGCUGGUGGCCGAAGAGGGAGGUGAUACGCAAGGGGAGGAAGAAACCACCCGAUAGAGAACACAAACCCUUCCCGCGGGUGCACACAAUUGUAAUAGGAAUGAUGGGGUCUCGGUCCACAUGGUUUUUGUGAGAGAGCGAUGAGUUUUGAGUGUUGAAAUAAAGCGUGAAAAUUUCGGGGGGAAGGCAGCGACACGGACUCGGACUCGGACUCGGAGAACGUCCGCAGCCUGCGGAUAAGCUGGCGGGAGCGCUACCUGCGCAAGCGACGCAACAAGAAGAAGAGGAAGUAGAAAGGGUGCCCCCCUAAUCCUUCCAGUAAUGAGUUUGCUUUUCCCUUUCCUUGUCAAUUUUGAAAAAGAAGGUAUGCACGUACGUUCAAAAUCGCUUAAUUUUCGUCAAAACCGAACCUACUCAUUGGAUUGGAGUGAAUUUAACUCGGAAUUCUACGAAUUCAAAAGUGAAAUUCACUCAAAUUUGACAGAUGCCCCCUUUACUCAUUUCUGAAAAGGUGCGAUUUUGACGAAAACUGAGUGAUUUUGAACGUGAGUGUAGGUAAAACACAAUUAAUUGAGAUUCUUUGGUGGGAAAUGAGGAUCGCGAUAGUGGCAUCAAAGUGUUUUGUAGAAACAAAAAUCACCCAUAUUUUGCGUAUUUUCUUGGGAGCGUGCACAUCAUUCACGGUGCAGCAUUUUUCGAAAUGACCGUUAUUAUUGAAACGCGUUUUUCAAUAUUGUACGAGAUCUUACUUCUUGUAUUUUUGUCUAUGACCUGAUAAAUAAUUUAUCAAAGAUGUUUCGUCCAUACAAGCAUUCAAAGAAUUUUAAAUAAAUCUUUGUCUUGAGAACUUUAUUUCAAUCAAACUGAUGUCUAACCCCUUAAGUUAGAACUGUUCAAACUUUUUGCAGUUAAUGGAGCACAUAAACCAGAGCUGUUGCACCAAGAAUUAUAUUACAGACUUUUUAGUAUCUUCAAAACUAAGGGAACUAUCGGUAUAAUUUUUUAUUCAUCCCCAAAACAUAAAAAAAAAACAAAGUUAGACUUUUGCAGGAUUGGGUCCGUAAGUUUGACAAUUUUGGAAUAAGAAGACAACAACUUCAAUGGUUGCAGUAACUUUUAUUUUAUUUCACUUUUAUAACACAAGAAACUGUGUUUAGUUUUUUGUUUUUUUUUUUAAUAUGAGAUUUGAACCAAAGAUGGUCAAAAUUCUUUUAGUAGUGUUGCCAUUUAUGAAAUGAUUAUGAAAUUUUAGACAUUUAUUUAAGAUUGUACAAAAAGUGUUUUUUAAUUUUCCGUUGUACACACUUAGAUUAUUUUACCGAAUUCAUUAGUUGGAGAAUCGGUAAUGUUUAGAUCGGUUAACCAUCUGUCAAAAUGACAAAAUUUUACCGAAUUUCGGCUGUACGAUGAACAUUACCGAAUUUCGGUAAGUUUUUACCGAAUUCGCGAAUUUUCAGUUUACCGAACUAUUCAGCAGUUGAAAAUUCGGUAGACUUUACCGGAUUUGGUAAAAAAAAUCUGAGUGUGUAAGUCACACAUCGCAAUUUUGCAGUGAUUCAAAAAGUUAUUUUAUUUCAAAAUUUGUAAAUAAAUAAAAUAAAAAUAGAUAUUUUCGAAAUUUCAAAAUAAGACCGUCUUUGAAACUCCUUGUUUGAAAAUUAUGAUAACAUGUUUGCUGAAAGAUUCAAGAAGUUUUGUAUUAAGCGUUGGUUCAUAAGACAAUGAAGUCAGUACGCUAAAGCAAAAAACUAAUUUUGAUUAAAUUAUUUUAGCCUUUUCUGUGUAGUAGUAAGUCGCACUGUUUAAAAAAUGAAACUUAAAAAUCAGCCAUUUUGAAAUAUUAGCGGAUCCACUGAAAAGCUUGACCAAAACAUUCAUAGUGUGUUUACAUGGCAGCUGGGGGUUUGUUUGCAUCAGAUUUGCUAUCUCUUUCUAGCAAAAGUUCUAGCAUUUUUUUUUUUCAUAUUUCGCAGGGCUGUGACAGCUCGAUCUCGAUCAUUGUUUGCAUCAGGACACUGUGAUGAGAAGUUUGUCAUUUUUGGGUUAAAUUAUGUUUAUUUUUCACUGUACUACUGAAAUUUUCGCUGUACUUCAUUUCUUACUGGGUUGUGACAGGCAUUCAGAAUUGAUCAUUGAAAAUCAUCAAAAAUAAGGCACUCAUUAGUUCAAUGUAAAAAAACUUCCAAAAAAGGUCAAUAGCAUUCAUUUGUGUGCUGAAAAGUUCCACUUGUCGACCCUAUUUUGAUUUUUGAGUUGACCAAAUACAAGUUGCGUUGCAAAACUCGAUUUUUUUCAGCGAUUUUUUUUCCGGUUGAGGAAAUCAACUUGUUACAAAAAAAGUACUAAACAGCAGGAUUCAAAUAAAAAAAUUGUUCAAAUUUGGUCUAGGAGUUUCUUAACUAAAAUAAUUAGACCCGUAUUUUUUUAAUUGUUUUUUUUUAUUAUGGUGGUCUAAGCCGGGUUAGGGUGGUCCAAAAAAUUACGUUCUUUAAAAAUUUGUGCAAAACCUGCGUUGCAAAAGCAAAAUGAUAAGUUGGAAUUUAUGAAAAAAAAGUUUUCAGAACAUAACUGAGUACAGUCAUGCCUCGGUUUUGCACGCCUCGGUUUUGCACUGCCCCGGUUUUGCACCGUUCAGCUGCCUCGGUUAAGCACGGCCGAGUGCUUAACUGAAGCACAGAGCUUAUGGGAUUUUGGCUAUAUGGGAGACAUUGGCUAUAAUUCUAUGAAUAAUCAUGCAAACAUCAAAAAAUUAUAGUGUUUUGGAAUCGGGAUGAUGUCAGUUAUCCAUUAAAAUUAUUAUUUCAUGAAAUUUUUCACAAAAAUACGUA